Molecule: ribosomal RNA, 446 nt
Filed under: uncultured bacterium
Lineage: Bacteria
Description: SSU rRNA
Rfam family: Bacterial small subunit ribosomal RNA
Source: RNAcentral
AGAGCGAACGCUGGCGGCAGGCUUAACACAUGCAAGUCGAGCGGGCACUUCGGUGUCAGCGGCAGACGGGUGAGUAACGCGUGGGAACAUACCUUUUGGUUCGGAACAACACAGGGAAACUUGUGCUAAUACCGGAUAAGCCCUUACGGGGAAAGAUUUAUCGCCGAAAGAUUGGCCCGCGUCUGAUUAGCUUGUUGGUGAGGUAACGGCUCACCAAGGCGACGAUCAGUAGCUGGUCUGAGAGGAUGAUCAGCCACAUUGGGACUGAGACACGGCCCAAACUCCUACGGGAGGCAGCAGUGGGGAAUAUUGGACAAUGGGGGCAACCCUGAUCCAGCCAUGCCGCGUGAGUGAUGAAGGCCCUAGGGUUGUAAAGCUCUUUUAACGGGGAAGAUAAUGACGGUACCCGUAGAAUAAGCCCCGGCUAACUUCGUGCCAGCAGCCGC